Molecule: transfer RNA, 66 nt
Filed under: Chrysops sp.
Lineage: Eukaryota; Metazoa; Arthropoda; Insecta; Diptera; Tabanidae
Also listed under: 1 other name
Description: tRNA-Glu
Source: RNAcentral
AUUUAUAUAGUUUAAUAAAAACCUUACAUUUUCACUGUAAAAAUAAAGAAUUUUCUUUUAUAAAUU